RNAcentral lists this ribosomal RNA (382 nucleotides) under uncultured bacterium. Its description in RNAcentral is "bacterial SSU rRNA". It matches the Rfam family "Archaeal small subunit ribosomal RNA", at positions 339 to 725 of the family's 1478-position model. The record is from RNAcentral.
GCGCGAAAACUUUACAAUGCGGGAAACCGUGAUAAGGGAACCUCGAGUGCCUGUAUAUGCAGGCUGUCCAGGUGUCUAAAAAACACCUGAAGAAAGGGCCGGGCAAGACCGGUGCCAGCCGCCGCGGUAAUACCGGCGGCUCGAGUGGUGGCCACUUUUAUUGGGCUUAAAGCGUUCGUAGCUGGGUUGUUAAGUCUCUUGGGAAAUCUGACGGCUCAACCGUCAGGCGUCCAAGGGAUACUGGCAAUCUUGGAACCGGGAGAGGUGAGGGGUACUUCGGGGGUAGGAGUGAAAUCCUGUAAUCCUCGAGGGACCACCUGUGGCGAAGGCGCCUCACCAGAACGGCUUCGACAGUGAGGGACGAAAGCUGGGGGAGCAAACC